CAUGCAGUGCCCCGCUCCCAGCCAAAGUGGAAAGGCUUCCAGGCUGACAUUUUACCUGCAUUUUUCCUCCAUGGGGCUAUGAAAUAAAAGAUACAAGAAAAUUUCAACUGGAGAAGCUUGUGCCAAGCUCAAACUGAAGGCAUCACAAGACAGACAGAAUUAUUGCAGUCAGACAAAGCCCACAGCAAAAACAUGCCAUGAGCAGUUCUGCAAAACCCAUUUCCUGCAGCCAGCGAGAGGACUGUGCUUUCAAAGGUUUUAUAGGCUUACCUGCAGAAAUCCUCCAGCUUUGGAGAAAAUCCCCACAGAAUCUUUUUCCACCAAGCCUGGUAAAUUCAACAACAUUCUUCAUCAUGGAAUGUUUUCCAUAUAAUUGUGGGGAGACAAAGGGGGUGGGACAGGGACAGCACACACAUGACACAACCGCAGAUUAUAGUAUGUUCUUCUCUAAACUACCCUAAUUGAAAUGAACUAAAGGGCCUGUGUAAAACCAAUCAGGGAGAGAAAAAGAAGUGAGUGCAUAACAUAUGGUCCCACUGAUAGAGAAAGCUAUGAAAUGAACUCAACUGGACUAAGCCAUCAGAGGCUUCCAAACAAACAGGCAAAAAUAACUGCUGCUAAUACCAGAAUCAUUAUCAAAUAUACAAAUAUAUCUGUAAAUGGUGUUUCUGCUAAAAACAAGGCUAAAAAGUACAACCUCCUUAUUCUGCAAAUUUACUAUGAGUGCCUUUAUGAAAAGCAUGAAUUUCUGUUCAAGCACCAAUAGUGAACUUAUGUAACACUACUGAGGUCUGUCAACACAGGUGUAUAAACAAGAAAUGCUUGGCUUGUCCUUCUUACUAGAAGAUAGGAAAAUCUGGUUGCAGUUCAUCUUACUUGUAUUCCUGUGUGGAUAUCUCAUCUAAAGAAUAAGGCCCUGAUCUAGCAAAGCAGAAAUGCACACUCAGCUUUCAGCAGACCUAGCUUUAUAGUUCAAAUCAAUGGAAAGAGACACAUCCUAACAGCAGAUGCUGGAGCACAGCUGGGUGCAGUCCACCAAAUUCUCAUGUUCCAAGAUACUUGGGAGAGAUUUGGGCUGCAUGGGCAACCAAGAACAAAAACAGGAUUCAGCUAUGACUGAUUGUGAUGGAGGGCACAACUUUUGGUUGAAGUUUGUAGUCACUACUUUUCCUUCCUACUAAUGUAGGACAGUCAGUGUAACAUGCCAAGUCUUGAAUUCUCUUCUUGUUGAAAUUUUUACCAGUUUCCUAAGGAUGUGAGGUUAAUGUUACCCUAUUCAGUAUAUCACUGAUUUUACCUCUUUCCUACAAAUAUACUAGAGGCAGAACUUGAUGUUCAGAAAGUUCAGAAAACUGGAGGAACACACAGUAAAAAAAAAAAAAAAAAAAAAAAAAAAAAAAAAANNNNNNNNNNNNNNNNNNNNNNNNNNNNNNNNNNNNNNNNNNNNNNNNNNNNNNNNNNNNNNNNNNNNNNNNNNNNNNNNGAAAUUUUGUCAAGACAAGUGAAAAACACUCCCCUUGGACAGGAGUAAUCAAUUUCAGCAGUACAAGUCGGGACCAAAUAGCUAGGAAGUGUUGAAGAACAGUUUCUGGGGUUUACAGUGGACCAUGAACUAAACUCAAGCCUGUGGCAAUAGGCUCAAGACUGCUGUGCAAUACAGCACAUGAUUGUGUAAAUUUGAGAUAAGUGAAGAAGACCAACAAGUAAUCAUGCAAGUACUUCUUGCAUUCUGUACAGCAUUUUUAAGGCCUCUGCAGGAGAUAUAUGCCUAGAUUGAACAAUGUCUUUCAAAAGCAGAAUGAAUCCAGAAUAAACUGAAGUCAGAGGGGCUGUGGAAACUCCA
This is a long non-coding RNA of Parus major (Great Tit), 1843 nucleotides long. NCBI's taxonomy places the organism in Eukaryota, Metazoa, Chordata, Aves, Passeriformes, Paridae. The record is from Ensembl.